AUUGAACGCUGGCGGCAGGCCUAAUACAUGCAAGUCGAGCGGAGGAAGUGUGGUUGUUCCUCUAUUCAAAGUCGGACGGGUGAGUAAUGCCUAGGAAUCUGCAUGGUAGUGGGGGAUAACGUCCGGCAAUGGGAGCUGAUACCUCAUACGUCAUGAGGGAGAAUGUGGCGUGUGAUAGAACUUAAAGUUAUUUGUGCAAACUAUGUUGGAUUAGCUAGUUGGUGGGGUAAAGGCCGACCAAGGCGACGAUCCGUAACUGGUCUGAGAGGAUGAUCAGCCACACUGGAACUGAGACACGGCCCAGACUCCUACGGGAGGCAGCAGUGGGGAAUAUUGCGCAAUGGGCGAAAGCCUGACCCAGCCACGCCGCGUGUGUGAAGAAGGUCUUCGGUUCGUAAAGCACUUUUAUUAGGGAAGAAUGGAUGUAUGUUAAUACCUCGCGUUUGUGACGGUACCAACAGAGAAAGCCCCGGCUAACUACGUG
Molecule: ribosomal RNA, 484 nt
Filed under: uncultured bacterium
Lineage: Bacteria
Description: partial 16S ribosomal RNA
Rfam family: Bacterial small subunit ribosomal RNA
Source: RNAcentral